Felis catus (domestic cat) is the source of this 767-nucleotide long non-coding RNA. RefSeq lists it as uncharacterized. Lineage: Eukaryota; Metazoa; Chordata; Mammalia; Carnivora; Felidae. The transcript is spliced from 2 exons. The record is from RefSeq and is a predicted model, not a curated record.
ACAAUGGCCAGACCAUAUAUAAAAAUAGAAUUCUGAGCCACAAUCUGCAGCAGCCAGCCCUGGAGACCAAUCUGUUAUUUAUACUAACUAGCCCAGGAAGUUAACCUACAAGUCAUAGUCAGUCUACAAGUCAUAGUUGUAGAAAGUCAAAAUGUUGUCUCCAGCAAACAGUUCAAGAAGUCAAACAAUAACCCCGGUAACAAUUGGCCCCAAUUGUGAGAUUUGAUUAAUAAGACAGCUUCCCUAGUUUUUGUUCAUGCUUUCAAUGAGACCAACCAGAGAAAGCCAAAUAUGCCCUCCUAACCAACUAUAUAGGACCCCCUUUCCCACCUACCUACAGCUUCCCCAUGUCAUAGCACUUGUUCCAUCAAGUGCCUACAAGUGACAGGAGUAAAGAUUUAAAUAAACAGAAGCUGAAUCAGUACAAGAAAGUGGUUUUGCUGUCAAAUGACUAUAAAAGUAUAGGAUCGACUUAGGAUUUCAGGCAAGCAACAGAAAAAUUCUCCACUGGUUUUUAUCCUAGAGAUGCUUUUGGUGAUGACCCUACAGCAGGAUAAUCCUGGGAUCCUUUCCAACUGUAAGAAUAUAUUAGACUGAGAGGACCCAAGAAACCUAAUUUCUGGCACUCCUGACCAUGACAAAGCCCAUAUAACAGGUUACUUACUGCAAGGAAAAUAUCACCGUCAUUCAUCACUAAUUCCUCAGAAUAUUAAGGAAUCACCACCACCAAUAGUAUCACCAAUAGUAAAGUUCUGAGAAAUUCUGUA